Molecule: ribosomal RNA, 397 nt
Filed under: Wickerhamiella sorbophila
Lineage: Eukaryota; Fungi; Ascomycota; Dipodascomycetes; Dipodascales; Trichomonascaceae
Also listed under: 1 other name
Description: partial small subunit ribosomal RNA
Rfam family: Bacterial small subunit ribosomal RNA
Source: RNAcentral
GUGCCAGAAGUUUCGGUUAGGCAAAUAGAACAAGUAGUUUACAUUAAAGGUUUAAAGGAUUAGUAGACGGAUUAUAAUCAUAUAAUCUAGAAUAAAAUAAUAUAUAUUUAAUGAAAAAUGGAAGAAAAAGUUAAAUUUUAUGAUAUCUAUUGGACAACCAUUAAAUGAAAGUAUUAAAUAAAUAUUUUAUUGACGUUGAGAUAAUGAAACCUAAAGUAUCAAGUUGGACUUGUUAACCAAUUAGUUUUAGGCGUAAACUAUGUAUAUUAAUAAUUAAUAUAAAAUAUAUUAAUUAUGAAGAUAAUUUAUAAUAUACCACCUGAAAAGUAUAAUCCAGAAUUGAAAUUUAAAACAAUAGGCCGUUUAGUUUUAUUAACAGUGGAUCAUGUUAUUUAAU